GGGGACGCCUGAAGCCGGUGGCGAACCCGCAAGGGGCGGAGCCGUCGAAGGCGGGACCAGCGAUUGGAACG
This 71-nucleotide ribosomal RNA is filed under the name uncultured bacterium. RNAcentral's name for it is "partial 16S ribosomal RNA". The record is from RNAcentral.